RNAcentral lists this ribosomal RNA (498 nucleotides) under uncultured bacterium. RNAcentral describes it as "partial 16S ribosomal RNA". It matches the Rfam family "Bacterial small subunit ribosomal RNA", at positions 27 to 507 of the family's 1533-position model. The record is from RNAcentral.
GGAUGAACGCUGGCGGCGUGCCUAAUACAUGCAAGUCGAGCGAACAGACGAGGAGCUUGCUCCUCUGACGUUAGCGGCGGACGGGUGAGUAACACGUGGAUAACCUACCUAUAAGACUGGGAUAACUUCGGGAAACCGGAGCUAAUACCGGAUAACAUGUUGAACCGCAUGGUUCAACAGUGAAAGACGGUCUUGCUGUCACUUAUAGAUGGAUCCGCGCCGCAUUAGCUAGUUGGUAAGGUAACGGCUUACCAAGGCAACGAUGCGUAGCCGACCUGAGAGGGUGAUCGGCCACACUGGAACUGAGACACGGUCCAGACUCCUACGGGAGGCAGCAGUAGGGAAUCUUCCGCAAUGGGCGAAAGCCUGACGGAGCAACGCCGCGUGAGUGAUGAAGGUCUUCGGAUCGUAAAACUCUGUUAUUAGGGAAGAACAAAUGUGUAAGUAACUAUGCACGUCUUGACGGUACCUAAUCAGAAAGCCACGGCUAACUACGUG